UAUAGCUUCAACAGUGCUGAGAACCUUUGUCAACAAAAGAUAAAAUAAAUGUGGCUACUUAAAGGUCAUUUCUGAUUGAUUUGCUUUCCUUUCAGUACAUGCAUUCUCAUAAAGAUGUUCCAGGUUGUUGCCUGUGAUAUCAAGUAACGUUGGCUUGGCAAAUGUCACAGGAACCACAGGAGUAGCCAUGGGUAAAAAUUAAAGGCUAAAAAAGAAGGAAAGUCAUUUGGUUAAUUUCAUUUUGAGCAAGAGAACCACUAAAUGAUAAAAUACACUCUGCAUGUUAUUGCCUCAGAGCCAGAAUAGGACAAUGGGGACACAAUCCAAGUGGGCAGCUGCCUUCUCUUAAUUCACACAAAUGAUUUUUAGUGUGAUUACUUUCUGAAUAUGACAAAUAUUCCCUAUGAUAGAGUUUGAGUUGCAGGACAAAAUAAAGCCUGGGACCUCAUUUAGAAAUACAUGCUUAGAGCAAUUCAAAAUGUGAAUGUGCAACAGUUUCCUAAAACUUUCUUAUUCACAAAAACUGUUCCCACAUGCAUCUCUCCAUAUAAAAUCACAGGUAAAUUCAAGCACAAUGUGAACAAGUGCAUCAACUCCAUCUACAGAAUGCCAGCAAAUAUUCCCUAUGGUUCAAUUUUCAAGAAAAAGCAUUCUCUGAAAACAUACGUCCAACGUGUGUGGGGGCCUAUUUUUAUUUAUUUAUUUUUUUCCCCCAGGUAAUUGUUAAUAAUAUAAAAAAAAAAAAAAAAAUAGAUGAUGAUCUAACUUGCUGGAUGAACCUACCACUUUCCAUUAUAGGUCAAAUUGCAACAGUUAAGUAUACCAAAAGUCCUUUAUCUAUUCAUCACGACCCCUGUACAACCAACUGAGAAAUGGUUCAUUAAAUCAGACAAUAAGCACAUUUCACUGGAAAAAAAUAAGUUUACAAAUACUACAAAAACAAAAUAAAAUAAAACUCAAGGCAGUCUAGCAGCACCAAACACUAUUACUUAGCAUCUCAUCUACAACAUCUUCUCAUAUUAGAUCAAAUGUGACAGUCUCCAAAACCUGUGGCUAGAGUUACAACAGAAUGUAAAGAAAUAACCAUAUCUGAUCUUCCAUUAUUUGUUUUUGAAGAAUAUGAUGAUUAAAACAACUCACACUGCCUAGUGGCAAACCAAUACAUCGACGUGCCAUGAACUUACACCACAUAUCAACUCACCAAUUGUAACGUGUAUAUUCUGUUUUGGUUCUCUUCUGUUUCUGUUCUAUGCUUGUGUAUGUUGACUUAGUUUCUUUGUGUUUGCCAGUUAACCUAAUUAAGUUAUUCAUUUUGUUGAUUGGUUUGGUCUGUUUAUUCAGUUCAGUGUCAGUUCUCGCUGUAAUGUACCCGGUUGUUUUGUUCUUGUUUCAAAGUAAGUGUUGUUUGAGUUCUUUGGUUAAUAAAAACUAUACUGCUGCA
Molecule: long non-coding RNA, 1441 nt
Organism: Megalobrama amblycephala (Wuchang bream)
Lineage: Eukaryota; Metazoa; Chordata; Actinopteri; Cypriniformes; Xenocyprididae
Exons: 2
Source: RefSeq, a predicted model, not a curated record